Molecule: long non-coding RNA, 998 nt
Filed under: Vigna radiata
Lineage: Eukaryota; Viridiplantae; Streptophyta; Magnoliopsida; Fabales; Fabaceae
Description: long non-coding RNA (VRAD_LNC017621)
Source: RNAcentral
ACGGUUUUUCAACCGUUAUCAACUAUCAUCAUCAUAGAGUCAGUAAAAAUCUCAUACAGAAAGUCACAUAAUGAAACCAACCAUUUAAAAUCAGAUUCAAUGUUUCGAUUUCUUGAGUCUUAGAAUAAUGCAAGAGAGGGUAUAUCCAUCAAAUUUCACCCUUGAACCAGCUACCCCAACAAAAACUUCAUGCACACUUUUGGACUCGAGAAGGCUCUCCACGACAAAGGAGAAUUAAUCCUCCAUCAAGCAUCCAUAAGGCACAAAAGGGCACCAUCCUCCCUCACCUCCAACAUCAGAUCCAGGAUUCACCUCUAACGGUUCACCAUUGCCUCCAACACCAUCCAUCUUCAUCAGAGGCCUACCAUUCAUCAACCCCAACAUCACGAGUUCAUCCCUGCAACCAUCACACACAACCAGAGACUCCUUCCUCAUUUUUAGUUUUCUAACAGCAAAAAAUUCCAUCACGCUCACAUGGCUCUACAUUAAGUCAAUAGAAAAAACCCAUAUUAACCUAGCACCAUAGUUCACAAACACAGAGCACGAACAAUAUCAGAUGACCUCCACCGUUUUCAUUCACUGAAAUCUUCCAUCUUCGCGCAAGCAUUUUUCUUAGCCCUUGGCCCGUGAUAGUGAUUCACAUUUGAAACCGAUUCUUCCAUCAUCCAUCAUUCACCUCUCACACUUCCCCCAAUUCUUACUCACAUACUACUCUCUAUCAACUCAACAGUAUCACCGUCUUUGGAACCAACCUCCUCCAUCACAGAAACACCAAACAAAAGAAACAAUAGAGAAACUUUUACCUCCUUCUUCCAUUUUCAUCACCCAACAACAUCAUCUCGUUACUUGCAAAUCCAACAAAACAACCACAAUUAUCCUCACCCACUCUCACGACACUGUCAUCACCAAAGCCCCAAAAAUCACCAUCUUCAUUGUUAAUAUCUGAUCAGAACAGAGAUAGGAGAAGAAAGGAGAUGGCGUCGCCCACACCUACUUCA